RNAcentral lists this ribosomal RNA (492 nucleotides) under uncultured bacterium. Its description in RNAcentral is "partial 16S ribosomal RNA". It matches the Rfam family "Bacterial small subunit ribosomal RNA", at positions 29 to 507 of the family's 1533-position model. The record is from RNAcentral.
AGUGAACGCUGGCGGUAGGCCUAACACGUGCAAGUCGAACGGCAGCACAGUAAGAGCUUGCUCUUACGGGUGGCGAGUGGCGGACGGGUGAGGAAUACAUCGGAAUCUACUUUUUCGUGGGGGAUAACGUAGGGAAACUUACGCUAAUACCGCAUACGACCUACGGGUGAAGGCAGGGGAUCUUCGGACCUUGCGCGAUUGAAUGAGCCGAUGUCGGAUUAGCUAGUUGGCGGGGUAAAGGCCCACCAAGGCGACGAUCCGUAGCUGGUCUGAGAGGAUGAUCAGCCACACUGGAACUGAGACACGGUCCAGACUCCUACGGGAGGCAGCAGUGGGGAAUAUUGGACAAAGGGCGCAAGCCUGAUCCAGCCAUACCGCGUGGGUGAAGAAGGCCUUCGGGUUGUAAAGCCCUUUUGUUGGGAAAGAAAAGCAGCAGGUUAAUACCCCGCUGUUCUGACGGUACCCAAAGAAUAAGCACCGGCUAACUUCGUG